This 1998-nucleotide long non-coding RNA is filed under the name Oreochromis niloticus (Nile tilapia). RNAcentral's name for it is "lncRNA (ENSONIG00000031932.1)". Lineage: Eukaryota; Metazoa; Chordata; Actinopteri; Cichliformes; Cichlidae. The record is from RNAcentral.
AUGUGUGGACCACCUGCUUUGGCAACAUCAGGGAAAGAAGCUUCUCUCCAAGGUGGUGUGGAAACACCCGCUGUAAGUGAUGCAACACCAGAAGAAGAAACUGCUCUACAAAACAGCACCAUAUCAGUCACCGACACUCUGCCUGCACCAUCUAGUCAAUCCGAUGCUGACAGUGCCAAGAGUGUGGAGUUUAAAGUCGAGUCUGCACCACCCUCUGAGCCGGUUUUUAAGAGCGGAACUGAAGAGGCGGUUGAGCGCGAAGAUGAUGGCACUGUUGUUGAACAAAGUUUUGAUCCAACACCUAAGACAGCAGGAGACUGUGACAAAGAGUUGAACACUGAAGAUGCCCUUGACCAAGUAGCUGCUUCAGAUGCAGAAGGUGUUUUGGAUAACACAGAGCACGCAGCUAUUAGACUGACUGAUGCUUUAGAUGUGGAGACGGCCAAGGCUGAAGCUGUUCCUAAACCUGUGGAAGAUCCAAGACAACCCCACUCUGAAGCAACUGCAGAAAACAUGGAACAACAUGCUGAUGCACCAGCUGACACCUGUCACAAUGAGGAUAAGGCCUCCGCAGAUGCUGAUGUGAAAAAUCCCCCUGCAGAAAUCUCUGCUGCAGAAGGCACAGUGAGAGAGAGUAGCGAGAGUAAGAGCACCGCUGGAGUCCCUGGAGAAUCUGUAAUCAAAAGAGAACCGCCGAAUACAACUAAUUUAGAGCAUGCAGGAGUAAACAUGUGUGGACUACCUGCUUUGGCAACAUCAGGGAAAGAAGCUUCUCUCCAAGGCGGUGUGGAAACACCCGCUGUAAGUGAUGCAACACCAGAAGAAGAAACUGCUCUGCAAAACAGCACCAUAUCAGUCACCGACACUCUGCCUGCACCAUCUAGUCAAUCCGAUGCUGACAGUGCCAAGAGUGUGGAGUUUAAAGUCGAGUCUGCACCACCCUCUGAGCCGGUUUUUAAGAGCGGACCUGAAGAGGCGGUUGAGCGCGAAGAUGAUGGCACUGUUGUUGAACAAAGUUUUGAUCCAACACCUAAGACAGCAGCAGACUGUGACAAAGAGUUGAACACUGAAGAUGCCCUUGACCAAGUAGCUGCUUCAGAUGCAGAAGGUGUUUUGGAUAACACAGAGCACGCAGCUAUUAGACUGACUGAUGCUUUAGCUGUGGAGACGGCCAAGGCUGAAGCUGUUCCUAAACCUGUGGAAGAUCCAAGACAACCCCACUCUGAAGCAACUGCAGAAAACAUGGAACCACAUGCUGAUGCACCAGCUGACACCUGUCACAAUGAGGAUAAGGCCUCCGCAGAGGCUGAUGUGAAAAAUCCCCCUGCAGAAAUCUCUGCUGCGGAAGGCACAGUGAGAGAGAGUAGCGAGAGUAAGAGCACCGCUGGAGUCCCUGGAGAAUCUGUAAUCAAAAGAGAACCGCCGAAUACAACUAAUUUAGAGCAUGCAGGAGUAAACAUGUGUGGACUACCUGCUUUGGCAACAUCAGGAAAAGAAGCUUCUCUCCAAGGCGGUGUGGAAACACCCGCUGUAAGUGAUGCAACACCAGAAGAAGAAACUGCUCUACAAAACAGCACCAUAUCAGUCACCGACACUCUGCCUGCACCAUCUAGUCAAUCCGAUGCUGACACUGCCAAGAGUGUGGAGUUUAAAGUCGAGUCUGCACCACCCUCUGAGCCGGUUUUUAAGAGCGGACCUGAAGAGGCGGUUGAGCGCGAAGAUGAUGGCACUGUUGUUGAACAAAGUUUUGAUCCAACACCUAAGACAGCAGCAGACUGUGACAAAGAGUUGAACAUUGAAGAUGCCCUUGACCAAGUAGCUGCUUCAGAUGCAGAAGGUGUUUUGGAUAACACAGAGCACGCAGCUAUUAGACUGACUGAUGCGUUAGAUGUGGAGACGGCCAAGGCUGAAGCUGUUCCUAAACCUGUGGAAGAUCCAAGACAACCCCACUCUGAGGAGUUCAAACCGAACCAAAAGUGUGAUGAUAGUCAUACGUGA